Molecule: transfer RNA, 73 nt
Filed under: Paramuricea clavata
Lineage: Eukaryota; Metazoa; Cnidaria; Anthozoa; Malacalcyonacea; Plexauridae
Rfam family: tRNA
About the family: Transfer RNA (tRNA) molecules are approximately 80 nucleotides in length. Their secondary structure includes four short double-helical elements and three loops (D, anti-codon, and T loops). Further hydrogen bonds mediate the characteristic L-shaped molecular structure. tRNAs have two regions of fundamental functional importance: the anti-codon, which is responsible for specific mRNA codon recognition, and the 3' end, to which the tRNAs corresponding amino acid is attached (by aminoacyl-tRNA synthetases). tRNAs cope with the degeneracy of the genetic code in two manners: having more than one tRNA (with a specific anti-codon) for a particular amino acid; and 'wobble' base-pairing, i.e. permitting non-standard base-pairing at the 3rd anti-codon position.
Source: Rfam by way of RNAcentral
GACCGCGUAGCUCAGUUGGCAGAGCAUUGGGCUAGUAUUCCAAAGGUCGUAGGUUCAAUUCCCACCGUGGCCA